CCCUUUGGGGUGUGACUGCGUACCUUUUGUAUAAUGGGUCAGCGACUUAUAUUCUGUAGCAAGGUUAACCGAAUAGGGGAGCCGGAGGGAAACCGAGUCUUAAUUGGGCGUUAAGUUGCAGGGUAUAGACCCGAAACCCGGUGAUCUAGCCAUGGGCAGGUUGAAGGUUGGGUAACACUAACUGGAGGACCGAACCGACUAAUGUUGAAAAAUUAGCGGAUGACCUGUGGCUGGGGGUGAAAGGCCAAUCAAACCGGGAGAUAGCUGGUUCUCCCCGAAAGCUAUUUAGGUAGCGCCUCGUGAAUUCAUCUCCGGGGGUAGAGCACUGUUUCGGCUAGGGGGCCAUCCCGGCUUACCAACCCGAUGCAAACUGCGAAUACCGGAGAAUGUUAUCACGGGAGACACACGGCGGGUGCUAACGUCCGUCGUGAAGAGGGAAACAACCCAGACCGCCAGCUAAGGUCCCAAAGUCAUGGUUAAGUGGGAAACGAUGUGGGAAGGCCCAGACAGCCAGGAUGUUGGCUUAGAAGCAGCCAUCAUUUAAAGAAAGCGUAAUAGCUCACUGGUCGAGUCGGCCUGCGCGGAAGAUGUAACGGGGCUAAACCAUGCACCGAAGCUGCGGCAGCGACGCUGAUGCGUUGUUGGGUAGGGGAGCGUUCUGUAAGCCUGUGAAGGUGGCCUGUGAGGGUUGCUGGAGGUAUCAGAAGUGCGAAUGCUGACAUAAGUAACGAUAAAGCGGGUGAAAAGCCCGCUCGCCGGAAGACCAAGGGUUCCUGUCCAACGUUAAUCGGGGCAGGGUGAGUCGACCCCUAAGGCGAGGCCGAAAGGCGUAGUCGAUGGGAAACGGGUUAAUAUUCCCGUACUUGGUGUUACUGCGAAGGGGGGACGGAGAAGGCUAUGUUGGCCGGGCGACGGUUGUCCCGGUUUAAGCGUGUAGGUGUGUGUUCCAGGUAAAUCCGGUUCACUUUAACACUGAGGCGUGAUGACGAGGCACUACGGUGCUGAAGCAACAAAUGCCCUGCUUCCAGGAAAAGCCUCUAAGCAUCAGGUAACAUCAAAUCGUACCCCAAACCGACACAGGUGGUCAGGUAGAGAAUACCAAGGCGCUUGAGAGAACUCGGGUGAAGGAACUAGGCAAAAUGGUGCCGUAACU
This 1153-nucleotide ribosomal RNA is filed under the name Salmonella enterica. RNAcentral describes it as "partial 23S ribosomal RNA". It matches the Rfam family "Bacterial large subunit ribosomal RNA", at positions 582 to 1735 of the family's 2925-position model. Lineage: Bacteria; Pseudomonadati; Pseudomonadota; Gammaproteobacteria; Enterobacterales; Enterobacteriaceae. The record is from RNAcentral.